ACUAGCAGUAAGAGUUUGAUCCUGGCUCAGAACGAACGCUGGCGGCAGGCUUAACACAUGCAAGUCGAACGCAUCCUUCGGGGUGAGUGGCAGACGGGUGAGUAACGCGUGGGAAUCUGCCCUUGGGUUCGGAACAACAGUUGGAAACGACUGCUAAUACCGGAUGAUGACUUCGGUCCAAAGAUUUAUCGCCCAAGGAUGAGCCCGCGUAGGAUUAGCUUGUUGGUGAGGUAAAAGCUCACCAAGGCGACGAUCCUUAGCUGGUCUGAGAGGAUGAUCAGCCACACUGGGACUGAGACACGGCCCAGACUCUUACGGGAGGCAGCAGUGGGGAAUAUUGGACAAUGGGCGAAAGCCUGAUCCAGCAAUGCCGCGUGAGUGAUGAAGGCCUUAGGGUUGUAAAGCUCUUUUACCCGGGAAGAUAAUGACUGUACCGGGAGAAUAAGCCCCGGCUAACUCCGUGCCAGCCGCCGCGGUAAUUC
RNAcentral lists this ribosomal RNA (482 nucleotides) under uncultured bacterium. RNAcentral's name for it is "bacterial SSU rRNA". It matches the Rfam family "Bacterial small subunit ribosomal RNA", at positions 1 to 526 of the family's 1533-position model. The record is from RNAcentral.